GACGAACGCUGGCGGCGUGCUUAACACAUGCAAGUCGAACGGUAAGGCUCCAGCUUGCUGGGGUACACGAGUGGCGAACGGGUGAGUAACACGUGGGUGACCUGCCCUGCACUUCGGGAUAAGCCUGGGAAACUGGGUCUAAUACCGGAUAGGACCGCACCGUGAGGGUGUGGUGGAAAGUUUUUUCGGUGUGGGAUGGGCCCGCGGCCUACCAGCUUGUUGGUGGGGUAAUGGCCUACCAAGGCGGCGACGGGUAGCCGGCCUGAGAGGGUGGACGGCCACAUUGGGACUGAGACACGGCCCAGACUCCUACGGGAGGCAGCAGUGGGGAAUAUUGCACAAUGGGCGGAAGCCUGAUGCAGCGACGCCGCGUGGGGGAUGACGGCCUUCGGGUUGUAAACUCCUUUCACCAUCGACGAAGGGUUUCUGACGGUAGAUGGAGAAGAAGCACCGGCUAACUACGUG
Molecule: ribosomal RNA, 465 nt
Filed under: uncultured bacterium
Lineage: Bacteria
Description: partial 16S ribosomal RNA
Rfam family: Bacterial small subunit ribosomal RNA
Source: RNAcentral